GUGUCAGCCGCCGCGGUAACACCAGCCCCUCGAGUGGUGGGGACUAUUAUUUGGCCUAAAGCGUCCGUAGCUGGCUGUAUCCGUCCCCCGUUAAAUCCAGCGUCCUAAACGUUGGACUGCGGGUGAUACCAUACAGCUAGAGGGUGGGAUAGGUGAGCGGUAUUUCUGGGGUAGGGGCGAAAUCCUUUGAUCCCAGGAGGACCACCAGUGGCGAAGGCUGCUCACUAGAACACGCCUGACGGUCAGGGACGAAAGCUGGGGCAGCGAACCGGAUUAGAUACCCGGGUAGUCCCAGCUGUAAACGAUGCUAGCUAGGUGUUGGGUCGGCCACGUGCCGCCCCAGUGCCGCAGGGAAGCCGUUAAGCUAGCCGCCUGGGGAGUACGGCCGCAAGGCUGAA
RNAcentral lists this ribosomal RNA (398 nucleotides) under uncultured bacterium. RNAcentral describes it as "bacterial SSU rRNA". It matches the Rfam family "Archaeal small subunit ribosomal RNA", at positions 455 to 853 of the family's 1478-position model. The record is from RNAcentral.